CACCUUUCUCCUCUUUUUAAAACAACGUCGAACGUGUCUUAUCUGCGUGAGAGGAUAAAGACAAGAGGUUACACAUUUGAAUUCAAAUCAAAUUUGAAUUCAAACGAAAAUCAACUUAUCCCUAUCCUUUUGGGCGUGAGAAGAGAAGGGGUGUGGCUCUUUGUGUGUAGAAAAUGUUUCAUGAGAAACCUUUUCUCGUGUAAGUAAUGUGGCGCACAAAAUGGAUAAGGAUGAAAGGACAAGUGAUAAGUUAUCCAUUCAAAU
This 264-nucleotide long non-coding RNA is filed under the name Elaeis guineensis (African oil palm). RNAcentral describes it as "long non-coding RNA (EGUI_LNC058863)". The record is from RNAcentral. Lineage: Eukaryota; Viridiplantae; Streptophyta; Magnoliopsida; Arecales; Arecaceae.